AUCCAGCUGACCACGAGUCAUAAAUAGGACGAAAUGCGCAUCUUGGAU
RNAcentral lists this non-coding RNA (48 nucleotides) under Trichobilharzia regenti. Lineage: Eukaryota; Metazoa; Platyhelminthes; Trematoda; Strigeidida; Schistosomatidae. The record is from RNAcentral.